GAUGAAGAACGUAGCGAAAUGCGAUAAGUAGUGUGAAUUGCAGAAUUCCGUGAAUCAUCGAAUCUUUGAACGCACAUUGCGCCUUCUGGUAUUCCGGAAGGCAUGCCUGUUCGAGAGUCAUUAACAACCGUUUCGAUCCCUUUCUUUCAGAAAUUACAAAGAGGAAAAGGGUUUGGUUAUGGUGGAGGAGGGAAAGGGAGCGUUUAGCCUGUAAAAAAAGAGGCUGUGUUCCGCCUCCCCCCCAAAAUUGUACAGGCGGUCGUGUGCGCCCACGCAUCGAGGUGUUGUAAAAGCUGCCACGGCACUUUUCACCUGUGCAGUGCGAGAUUGGCCAGCCUGUUUAAAAACCCCUCCAAACAAUCAAAGGUUGACCUCGGAUCAGGUAGGGAUACCCGCUGAACUUAAGCAUAUCAAUAAGCGGAGGA
RNAcentral lists this unclassified non-coding RNA (425 nucleotides) under soil metagenome. RNAcentral describes it as "partial contains 5.8S ribosomal RNA, internal transcribed spacer 2, and large subunit ribosomal RNA". The stretch from base 1 to 120 matches the Rfam family "5.8S ribosomal RNA", at positions 35 to 154 of the family's 154-position model. The record is from RNAcentral.